ACUCAAAUGAAUUGACGGGGACCCGCACAAGCAGUGGAGUAUGUGGUUUAAUUCGAAGCAACGCGAAGAACCUUACCAGGUCUUGACAUCCCUUUGACCGUCUCAGAGAUGAGGCUUUCCUUCGGGACAAAGGAGACAGGUGGUGCAUGGUUGUCGUCAGCUCGUGUCGUGAGAUGUUGGGUUAAGUCCCGCAACGAGCGCAACCCUUAGGUCUAGUUGCCAGCACAUCAGGUGGGCACUCUAGAGCGACUGCCGGUGACAAACCGGAGGAAGGUGGGGAUGACGUCAAAUCAUCAUGCCCCUUAUGACCUGGGCUACACACGUACUACAAUGGCCGGUACAACGGGAAGCGAAGUGGCGACACGGAGCGAAUCUUCAGAAGCCGGUCUCAGUUCGGAUUGCAGGCUGCAACUCGCCUGCAUGAAGUCGGAAUUGCUAGUAAUCGCGGAUCAGCAUGCCGCGGUGAAUACGUUCCCGGGUCUUGUACACACCGCCCGU
Molecule: ribosomal RNA, 498 nt
Filed under: uncultured bacterium
Lineage: Bacteria
Description: partial 16S ribosomal RNA
Rfam family: Bacterial small subunit ribosomal RNA
Source: RNAcentral